Molecule: long non-coding RNA, 473 nt
Organism: Clupea harengus (Atlantic herring)
Lineage: Eukaryota; Metazoa; Chordata; Actinopteri; Clupeiformes; Clupeidae
Source: RefSeq, a predicted model, not a curated record
GGGACGUCGAUUUCAGCUUUAUAAAUCUAAACUUGAUGAAAUAUGAGGACACUCUCGGCUGACUCAGGCUUAGUGUGUGGUGUUUACUGGUAUCCCUGGCAGAUCAAUUUAAUUUCAGGAAACAUCAAAUGAGGUGCACGGAUGACUCAGAGACAGGUGAGGGGAGAGGCACAGAUGGAGGGAGAUGUGCAUGGUUCUGACUGCAGGCACAAAUGCCCCCCCACCCCUAUAAUUCAUGCACUGGAGGUUGUCACACGGUUAGUGUGAUUAAUUAAUAUUUGCCACCCAAAGCCUGAUUCAAGCACUGCCUAAGGAGGAAGACAGAGAAUCAAGAGAAUGCUUCUUCAUUUGUGUUGUCAGGGUUACAAAGAGGAAAGGUGGCCUAAAUCAAGCACACAAGGGACAGCAGCUUCAUCAUAAUUAUAAUGAGCCCGCUUGUGUGUGCAUGUGUGUGUGCACGGGAGAGAGUGCAU